GAUCACCGUUGUUGGCUUUUUUUUCCAUCAUAGCGAAGAGUUGUCUAAUGAAACACUGAUGUUUGAUCAUGAUGUCAAAAGCCCUGCGGGUUUGGAUUCUGUGAAGUUCCUCCUAUGACUCGGCCUCCAGAAGUGCUUCUAUCCUCUAAUGCCAUGCACCACUUGGAUGAGGUGAUUGGCAAACUUUAUAAGAGAGACCUUCCAGCUGUGUUCUCUGAUGUCCAAAGAAUCCUUUCCCUUAGCCAGAUGCUGAAGACAUGCCAGCACUUUUAUUCAUGGAGCUCCAUAGCUGUAACAAAAUGAGAGGGCUAAUGAUUAAGGUAUGACU
Long non-coding RNA from Tympanuchus pallidicinctus (lesser prairie-chicken), 328 nucleotides. RefSeq lists it as uncharacterized. Lineage: Eukaryota; Metazoa; Chordata; Aves; Galliformes; Phasianidae. The transcript is spliced from 4 exons. The record is from RefSeq and is a predicted model, not a curated record.